GGAGGAGCAAAUCGAAUGGCGACGAAAGCUGUCUUGAAAACAGUCGAGCGUGAUGAGCGCCUUGGGAGUUCGACUCUCCCCUCCUCCGCCA
RNAcentral lists this transfer RNA (91 nucleotides) under Erwinia phage Hena1. RNAcentral describes it as "tRNA-Ser". It matches the Rfam family "tRNA". Rfam says of the family: Transfer RNA (tRNA) molecules are approximately 80 nucleotides in length. Lineage: Duplodnaviria; Heunggongvirae; Uroviricota; Caudoviricetes. The record is from RNAcentral.